GACGAACGCUGGCGGCGUGCUUAACACAUGCAAGUCGAACGGAAAGGCCUGCUUUCCCUUGUGGAUUGCGGGUACUCGAGUGGCGAACGGGUGAGUAACACGUGAGUGAUCUGCCCCCAACUUGGGUAUAAGCCUGGGAAACUGGGUCUAAUUCCCGAUAGGACUGCAGGGUGGUGCCUGUGGUGGAAAACGAUUUUCUAGUGGUUGGGGAUGAGCUCGCGGCCUAUCAGCUUGUUGGUGGGGUAAUGGCCUACCAAGGCGGCGACGGGUAGCCGGCCUGAGAGGGUGGACGGCCACAUUGGGACUGAGAUACGGCCCAGACUCCUACGGGAGGCAGCAGUGGGGAAUAUUGCACAAUGGGCGGAAGCCUGAUGCAGCGACGCCGCGUGGGGGAUGACGGCCUUCGGGUUGUAAACUCCUUUCGACCGCGAGGAAGCCACCUGGUUGGAAGGGUGGUGACGGUAGUGGUAGGAGAAGCACCGGCUAACUACGUG
RNAcentral lists this ribosomal RNA (494 nucleotides) under uncultured bacterium. RNAcentral describes it as "partial 16S ribosomal RNA". It matches the Rfam family "Bacterial small subunit ribosomal RNA", at positions 28 to 507 of the family's 1533-position model. The record is from RNAcentral.